Molecule: non-coding RNA, 251 nt
Filed under: Trichococcus sp.
Lineage: Bacteria; Bacillati; Bacillota; Bacilli; Lactobacillales; Carnobacteriaceae
Description: T-box sequence
Rfam family: T-box leader
About the family: Uncharged tRNA acts as the effector for transcription antitermination of genes in the T-box leader family. T-boxes are found upstream of many aminoacyl-tRNA synthetase genes and some amino acid biosynthetic genes usually in Gram-positive bacteria.
Source: RNAcentral
CUAAAUGCAAUGAAGAGAAAAAGUAACUUUUGCCUAUUUCCAGAGAGUCUGCGGGUGGUGCGAGCAGACAAUAGAAUUCAGUGAAAUCACAUCUCUGAGCAAGAAAGCUGAACCGACAGUUUCCGCUGUCCCAAGUAGGCUGACUCGGUUGUGCCCGUUACAGCGCUGACGUUUCGAACGGAACGUUAUGAGGCGGUCUCUGUGAAGAUGCCGCAAAAAAAGGUGGAACCACGACUUCAAUCGUCCUUUAA